This is a non-coding RNA of Schistosoma mattheei, 45 nucleotides long. The record is from Rfam. Lineage: Eukaryota; Metazoa; Platyhelminthes; Trematoda; Strigeidida; Schistosomatidae.
AUCCAGCUGACAAGUCCCAAAUCGGACGAAACAAGCGUCCUGAAU